RNAcentral lists this ribosomal RNA (670 nucleotides) under Escherichia coli. RNAcentral describes it as "partial 23S ribosomal RNA". It matches the Rfam family "Bacterial large subunit ribosomal RNA", at positions 1085 to 1756 of the family's 2925-position model. The record is from RNAcentral. Lineage: Bacteria; Pseudomonadati; Pseudomonadota; Gammaproteobacteria; Enterobacterales; Enterobacteriaceae.
CCAGACAGCCAGGAUGUUGGCUUAGAAGCAGCCAUCAUUUAAAGAAAGCGUAAUAGCUCACUGGUCGAGUCGGCCUGCGCGGAAGAUGUAACGGGGCUAAACCAUGCACCGAAGCUGCGGCAGCGACGCUUAUGCGUUGUUGGGUAGGGGAGCGUUCUGUAAGCCUGCGAAGGUGUACUGUGAGGUAUGCUGGAGGUAUCAGAAGUGCGAAUGCUGACAUAAGUAACGAUAAAGCGGGUGAAAAGCCCGCUCGCCGGAAGACCAAGGGUUCCUGUCCAACGUUAAUCGGGGCAGGGUGAGUCGACCCCUAAGGCGAGGCCGAAAGGCGUAGUCGAUGGGAAACAGGUUAAUAUUCCUGUACUUGGUGUUACUGCGAAGGGGGGACGGAGAAGGCUAUGUUGGCCGGGCGACGGUUGUCCCGGUUUAAGCGUGUAGGCUGGUUUUCCAGGCAAAUCCGGAAAAUCAAGGCUGAGGCGUGAUGACGAGGCACUACGGUGCUGAAGCAACAAAUGCCCUGCUUCCAGGAAAAGCCUCUAAGCAUCAGGUAACAUCAAAUCGUACCCCAAACCGACACAGGUGGUCAGGUAGAGAAUACCAAGGCGCUUGAGAGAACUCGGGUGAAGGAACUAGGCAAAAUGGUGCCGUAACUUCGGGAGAAGGCACGCUGAUA